GUCCCCGUAGCUCAAUUGGAUAGAGCGCUGGCCUCCGGAGCCAGAGGUUGGAGGUUCGAAUCCUCCCGGGGAUG
Molecule: transfer RNA, 74 nt
Filed under: Planctomycetota bacterium
Lineage: Bacteria; Pseudomonadati; Planctomycetota
Also listed under: 2 other names
Description: tRNA-Arg
Rfam family: tRNA
About the family: Transfer RNA (tRNA) molecules are approximately 80 nucleotides in length. Their secondary structure includes four short double-helical elements and three loops (D, anti-codon, and T loops).
Source: RNAcentral